AUUUUUUUUUUUUUUUGGUCUUAUGAUAAAACAAUUUCUAUUUAUAGUAAUGCAAAGGAGAAAAAUUAUGGUUCAAAUCGGAUGUUUUUUUUAUGCUUUAAUUAUCCUUCUUUCUCCAUUUCUUGUUGCAACCCACCAAAGCAUUGAUGAUGUUAUUCCUUGCGUUUUGAACACCGACUGUCCAAGAGAUAUGUGUCCCAUUCAUCUUUUUCCAAAGUGCAUCAAUUUAUUAUGUCGAUGCAGUUAUUGGGAGGACAAUUAAGUUGUCAAUUUCGUUGUAAAGCUCAAAUUUGUGGGUUGGUGUUAUUCUUGGGAGAAACCGACUUGCUUAUAGCAAGAGAAAGUGAGAAAUUGAUCAUGAAGUAAUUGAGUAACUAGUCUUUUUUUAUCUUUUAUCUAAGUCAUGUGUCCCUGUGAUUUGUUAGUGCUAUUAAUACAUUUAAAAAGGUAUAUAUUUAUUAUAAAAUAUAAAUCUCUUGAAUUGAGGGCAUACAACACAAGAAGAAGAUCCCUCAAAAAAAAAAAAAAAAA
Long non-coding RNA from Medicago truncatula (barrel medic), 531 nucleotides. RefSeq lists it as uncharacterized. The record is from RefSeq and is a predicted model, not a curated record. Lineage: Eukaryota; Viridiplantae; Streptophyta; Magnoliopsida; Fabales; Fabaceae. The transcript is spliced from 2 exons.